UGACACUGGCGGCAGGCUUAACACAUGCAAGUCGAGCGGAAACGAUGGUAGCUUGCUCCAGGCGUCCAGCGGCGGACGGGUGAGUAAUACUUAGGAAUCUACCUAGUAGUGGGGGGAUAGCACGGGGAAACUCGUAUUAAUACCGCAUACGACCUACGGGAGAAAGGGGGCAGUUUACUGCUCUCGCUAUUAGAUGAGCCUAAGUCGGAUUAGCUAGAUGGUGGGGUAAAGGCCUACCAUGGCGACGAUCUGUAGCUGGUCUGAGAGGAUGAUCAGCCACACCGGGACUGAGACACGGCCCGGACUCCUACGGGAGGCAGCAGUGGGGAAUAUUGGACAAUGGGGGAAACCCUGAUCCAGCCAUGCCGCGUGUGUGAAGAAGGCCUUUUGGUUGUAAAGCACUUUAAGCAGUGAAGAAGACUCCGUGGUUAAUACCCACGGACGAUGACAUUAGCUUGCAGAAUAAGCACCGGCUAACUCUGUGCCAGCAGCCGCGGUAAUACAGAGGGUGCAAGCGUUAAUCGGAAUUCUGGGCGUAAAGGGAGCCGUAGGUGGCUCAAUAAGCCAGAUGUGAAAUCCCGGCUCAACCUGGGAACUGCAUCUGAUCUGUUGACUAAAUUUUGAAAGAAG
This 630-nucleotide ribosomal RNA is filed under the name uncultured Antarctic soil bacterium. Its description in RNAcentral is "bacterial SSU rRNA". It matches the Rfam family "Bacterial small subunit ribosomal RNA", at positions 31 to 657 of the family's 1533-position model. The record is from RNAcentral.